RNAcentral lists this ribosomal RNA (221 nucleotides) under uncultured bacterium. Its description in RNAcentral is "partial 16S ribosomal RNA". It matches the Rfam family "Bacterial small subunit ribosomal RNA", at positions 99 to 334 of the family's 1533-position model. The record is from RNAcentral.
CGCACGGGUGAGUAACACGUGAAUAAUCUACCUUCGAGUGGGGAAUAACUGAGAGAAAUCUUAGCUAAUACCGCAUAAUACCUACGGGUCAAAGCAGCAAUGCGCUUGAAGAGGAGUUCGCGGCAGAUUAGUUAGUUGGCGGGGUAAUGGCCCACCAAGACGAUGAUCUGUAUCCGGCCUGAGAGGGCGCACGGACACACUGGAACUGAAACACGGUCCAG